AUUGAACGCUGGCGGCAGGCCUAACACAUGCAAGUCGAGCGGUAGCACAGAGAGCUUGCUCUCGGGUGACGAGCGGCGGACGGGUGAGUAAUGUCUGGGAAACUGCCUGAUGGAGGGGGAUAACUACUGGAAACGGUAGCUAAUACCGCAUAACGUCGCAAGACCAAAGAGGGGGACCUUCGGGCCUCUUGCCAUCAGAUGUGCCCAGAUGGGAUUAGCUAGUAGGUGGGGUAACGGCUCACCUAGGCGACGAUCCCUAGCUGGUCUGAGAGGAUGACCAGCCACACUGGAACUGAGACACGGUCCAGACUCCUACGGGAGGCAGCAGUGGGGAAUAUUGCACAAUGGGCGCAAGCCUGAUGCAGCCAUGCCGCGUGUAUGAAGAAGGCCUUCGGGUUGUAAAGUACUUUCAGCGGGGAGGAAGGUGCUGAGGUUAAUAACCUCAGCAAUUGACGUUACCCGCAGAAGAAGCACCGGCUAACUCCGUGCCAGCAGCCGCGUAAAC
Molecule: ribosomal RNA, 505 nt
Filed under: uncultured bacterium
Lineage: Bacteria
Description: bacterial SSU rRNA
Rfam family: Bacterial small subunit ribosomal RNA
Source: RNAcentral